RNAcentral lists this long non-coding RNA (591 nucleotides) under Homo sapiens (human). Its description in RNAcentral is "long non-coding RNA NONHSAT198510.1". Lineage: Eukaryota; Metazoa; Chordata; Mammalia; Primates; Hominidae. The record is from RNAcentral.
UAAAGAGGAAAUGUCUCUACGCUGCGGGGAUGCAGCCCGCACCCUGGGGCCCCGGGUAUUUGGGAGAUAUUUUUGCAGCCCAGUCAGACCGUUAAGCUCCUUGCCAGAUAAAAAAAAGGAACUCCUACAGAAUGGACCAGACCUUCAAGAUUUUGUAUCUGGUGAUCUUGCAGACAGGAGCACCUGGGAUGAAUAUAAAGGAAACCUAAAACGCCAGAAAGGAGAAAGGUUAAGACUACCUCCAUGGCUAAAGACAGAGAUUCCCAUGGGGAAAAAUUACAAUAAACUGAAAAAUACUUUGCGGAAUUUAAAUCUCCAUACAGUAUGUGAGGAAGCUCGAUGUCCCAAUAUUGGAGAGUGUUGGGGAGGUGGAGAAUAUGCCACCGCCACAGCCACGAUCAUGUUGAUGGGUGACACAUGUACAAGAGGUUGCAGAUUUUGUUCUGUUAAGACUGCAAGAAAUCCUCCUCCACUGGAUGCCAGUGAGCCCUACAAUACUGCAAAGGCAAUUGCAGAAUGGGGUCUGGAUUAUGUUGUCCUGACAUCUGUGGAUCGAGAUGAUAUGCCUGAUGGGGGAGCUGAACACAUUGC